UACAUAGGUGCGAGCGUUGUCCGGAUUUAUUGGGUUUAAAGGGUGCGUAGGCGGUCUAUUAAGUCAGUGCUGAAAUAUCCCGGCUUAACCGGGAGGGUGGCAUUGAUACUGAUGGACUUGAGUGCAGUCGAGGUAGGCGGAAUUGACGGUGUAGCGGUGAAAUGCUUAGAUAUCGUCAAGAACACCGAUAGUGUAGACAGCUUACUAGGCUGUAACUGACGCUGAGGCACGAAAGUGUGGGGAUCAAACAGGAUUAGAAACCCCAGUAGUCC
This 272-nucleotide ribosomal RNA is filed under the name uncultured bacterium. RNAcentral's name for it is "partial 16S ribosomal RNA". It matches the Rfam family "Bacterial small subunit ribosomal RNA", at positions 524 to 796 of the family's 1533-position model. The record is from RNAcentral.